GAAUCAAGCAAAGAACAAUCGAAGCAUUGAGAGAUCCCAAGAUCAGGCAGAAGAUGUCUGAACAUCCCCGUACUCAUAGUGAUUUGAUCAAAGCAAAGAUUGGCUCUUCAAUUCAACGCAUUUGGAAAGAACGUUUAAAGCUUAAA
Eucalyptus grandis is the source of this 146-nucleotide long non-coding RNA. RefSeq lists it as uncharacterized. NCBI's taxonomy places the organism in Eukaryota, Viridiplantae, Streptophyta, Magnoliopsida, Myrtales, Myrtaceae. The transcript has 3 exons. The record is from RefSeq and is a predicted model, not a curated record.